RNAcentral lists this ribosomal RNA (277 nucleotides) under Vibrio diazotrophicus. RNAcentral describes it as "partial 16S ribosomal RNA". It matches the Rfam family "Bacterial small subunit ribosomal RNA", at positions 1153 to 1429 of the family's 1533-position model. The record is from RNAcentral. Lineage: Bacteria; Pseudomonadati; Pseudomonadota; Gammaproteobacteria; Vibrionales; Vibrionaceae.
CGGUGAUAAACCGGAGGAAGGUGGGGACGACGUCAAGUCAUCAUGGCCCUUACGAGUAGGGUUACACACGUGCUACAAUGGCGCAUACAGAGGGCAGCGAACUAGCGAUAGUAAGUGAAUCCCAAAAAGUGCGUCGUAGUCCGGAUUGGAGUCUGCAACUCGACUCCAUGAAGUCGGAAUCGCUAGUAAUCGUGAAUCAGAAUGUCACGGUGAAUACGUUCCCGGGCCUUGUACACACCGCCCGUCACACCAUGGGAGUGGGCUGCAAAAGAAGCAG